Long non-coding RNA from Talpa occidentalis (Iberian mole), 716 nucleotides. RefSeq lists it as uncharacterized. The record is from RefSeq and is a predicted model, not a curated record. The transcript has 4 exons. Lineage: Eukaryota; Metazoa; Chordata; Mammalia; Eulipotyphla; Talpidae.
CCGAGCCGGGAGGGUUCGUACCGGCUGGGAGCCUGGUCUCUUCUGAGCUGGGAGGCGCUUAAAUCUGGGGAUCUUCUUGGGCUUCGAGAAGCAAGCCAGGAGAGGACCUCAGGCUGCCGGGGCAGUGCUGAGGCCCAGCCACUAGACCACCACAGCUCGGUCUCUCACGAAGCUGCAGCAGGAACUUCGCUGACCCUCAGAUUAUGGCUCAAGUUUGGAAGAUGAUGCCGUGGGGAUAAUUCAGGGCACAACCCAAGGACGUUGCUGAUUCUCCUUCAGGUAUAUCCAACUUACAGAGCUCCUGUAUUUGGAAAGCGUGAAGGGGCCCAGACUUUGAACUCCUGUCUUGUUUCACUGUUUUGUGUUUUUUUAAACUAAAGCUAUCCAAAGCCAUGUAUUAAACAGAAUAAUUUUCUAUAUUUAAAAAUGAACAAAAAAGGUAAAAUGUGUUAUUUGGAUUUGGAAACUAGCAGGAGCAUGGAUUCAUGCUAGAAACCCAAACCCCCUCACUAAAAUCAACAAGGUGACCUUGGCAUUAACACUCUAAAUGCUGCUGCUCUGCCCACACCUGCUUGACUAGCAGAAGCCCAUAUUUCCACCCUGAAAUGUUUUUCUAGAACUGCAGUGGAAUUCUGAAGACUUAAAAAAAAUUGCACCAGUUGCUCUCCUGACAUGGAGCAGAGAGGCAAUUUCUGCAAUGUUUGUUUUUUUUUUUU